Molecule: ribosomal RNA, 496 nt
Filed under: uncultured bacterium
Lineage: Bacteria
Description: partial 16S ribosomal RNA
Rfam family: Bacterial small subunit ribosomal RNA
Source: RNAcentral
AUGAACGCUGGCGGCGUGCCUAAUCCAUGCAAGUCGAGCGCACGGACGAGAAGCUUGCUUCUCUGAUGUUAGCGGCGGACGGGUGAGUAACACGUGGAUAACCUACCUAUAAGACUGGGAUAACUUCGGGAAACCGGAGCUAAUACCGGAUGAUAUUUUGAACCGCAUGGUUCAAAAGUGAAAGACGGUCUUGCUGUCACUUAUAGAUGGAUCCGCGCUGCAUUAGCCAGUUGGUAAGGUAACGGCUUACCAAGGCAACGAUGCAUAGCCGACCUGAGAGGGUGAUCGGCCACACUGGAACUGAGACACGGUCCAGACUCCUACGGGAGGCAGCAGUAGGGAAUCUUCCGCAAUGGGCGAAAGCCUGACGGAGCAACGCCGCGUGAGUGAUGAAGGUCUUCGGAUCGUAAAACUCUGUUAUUAGGGAAGAACAUAUGUGUAAGUAACUGUGCACAUCUUGACGGUACCUAAUCAGAAAGCCACGGCUAACUACGUG